This 325-nucleotide ribosomal RNA is filed under the name uncultured Cercozoa. RNAcentral's name for it is "bacterial SSU rRNA". The stretch from base 104 to 325 matches the Rfam family "Eukaryotic small subunit ribosomal RNA", at positions 733 to 955 of the family's 1831-position model. Lineage: Eukaryota; Cercozoa. The record is from RNAcentral.
GAUUUCUGGUAUGAUGUACCUGUCCCGCUGCGGUAACGUCAGUGUGUGACGGUGUAUGUCUGCCAUCCUUCUAGAGAAUGCAAGCUACCCUUCACUGGGCCGGUUUGUGUGAUCUAGAUCUUUUACUUUGAACAAAUUAGAGUGUUUCAAGCAGGCGUUUUGCUAUGAAUACAUUAGCAUGGAAUAAUAAGCUAGGACUUCGGUUCUAUUUUGUUGGUUUCUAGGACUGAAGUAAUGAUUGAUAGGGACAGUUGGGGGUGCUAGUAUUCAGCGGCCAGAGGUGAAAUUCUUGGAUUCGCUGAAGACUAACUUAUGCGAAAGCAUU